CUAUCGAAGGACCCCUUGAUUUCCAUGGAGGAGAGAGAAGCUGGAGGUUAAAUCAGCCAUCAGUGAGUGGCCAAUGAGUCAAUCAGUCAUACAUAUGAAAUGAAGUCUCAAAAAAAAGAAAUGAAGUCUCCAUAAAAACCCAGAACAUGGGGAUUCAGAGAACUUCCAGGGAAAUGCCUGGUAGUGAGAUUGUUGGGUCAUUGAGUAGCAGCAUGUUCGCUGUUAUCAGAAACUUCCAAGCAGUUCCAAAGCAGUGGGACCACUUUACACUCCCCCCAGCGAUGCAGAUACUGGGUGUAAUGACUGGAGGCCCAGCAGCUAUCUUGUGACCUUGAGGAUGAAUGCUACAUGCUGAGAAUGGUGGAGCAGAAAGGUGGAAGGAAACUGGUCCUGGGGACACCAUGGAGCUACCACCCCAUCUGGAUCCUCUGCAGGUCCAGACUGCUUUUACAUGAGACAGAAAUGUACUUCUGCCUUGUUUAAGCCACUGUCAUUUCUUUUCUCAGCUGAAAGAAGUAACAAAGCAGCAACCUCACUUUAUUGCAAGAAUAAAAGGGAACUCGUAGAACCUUACAGACAAUAAGCCACUGCACUCAGCCACUCCUGCCUGCUGCAGACCAACCCUGAGGAAUGCAGGAGUGGGGCAGAGCUGCAGAUAAGUCCCAGACCUGUGCUAUCCAGCCAUAGAGCCCACAUGAGAAUGCAUGAGGCAUCAGCCUGCUGUCUUGGAAGCCCUCAGGCUGUCCAAGACCCCUAGUCAUCUUUAAGGGCUUUCCCCUAAGCCCCAAACCUAGGCUUCUUGGAACCAAAAAGGCACAGAUGUCUUCAAAUCUAUCAAGACCCAACUCCCCUGAGCUCCUAACCCUGCUGUCUAGCUCUUCAGUGAAGACCAACGGGCAACUUGCAAAGUUGGGCUUAAUUUCAAAGAGGUUGCUAUCUUCACCAGGGGAACAGUUACCCAGAGUGGAGACCCUGCCCUGAAGACACUUGGCCAUCUGCAACCAGAGCUACUGGGCUCAGGAAGCUCAGCUUUUGUCAGAACAGGGAUUGCCUCAAGUGAAGAAAUCUGAAGAGUUCCAAUGUCUAGUGUUUAGUGUUCAGAACCACUGGGCAAACACGUUUUGCCCAAAGUCUGAGAGUCUGGGAUCUUCUAUAUCCUUUUCCGACCCCAGAUACCUCACAAACACUGUUGGCUGGGAGUUUAUGCUAAUCUGCACUCUCUCAGAGACACUACCUUCUUCUUGUGGGGACACUGACUCUCACCAAAAAGUUGUAUUCUCCCCUGCCUGGUGUUUUCCAGCAUACAGGUCCUGCCCCCUACUUCUAGAAAGAGCUUCUCUUCCAUCCAGCUUCCUGCACAUCUCACUUUCCACCAUGGUUCAUGUUUGUCUCCUGGUUUGGGAGGGAAAGAUUCUCUCAAGAACCUUUGGAAUGCACAUGACAUAAAAUCACUCUAAGAAAACUCACCGAACAGCUCACAUUGCAAUUGCCCUGGUAACUCCAUGAAACAGUCUUAAUAACACCUUCCUGGGGGUGAAUGUCAUCCUGGCUUUCCUUCAUUGACCUUGCAAACAGGGAAGAACAAGUGAUCUGGGUGCCAAGGAUACUCAGCUGCUGUCCUUGCUCUACUCCUGAUCCCUGGCCUCAGUGGGGCCAGAAGUCUAAAGGCAGCAAAGGUGAGAAGGCCUUGGGGACAUGGAGCACCAUGGCGUGGAUGGUUAAGAUCAACACUGGAGGGGUGAUGUUCCCACUCACAAGCCUUUGAAGGCUCCAGCCUGUGGCCAAAUUGGCCCAAAGGAGCCUUGGGCCAGGAAGGAGGCUGCAGAAGUCACUGUGAGGGGAGUGCUUGUGGGCCUGAUGGUCAUGGGCACUGAAGGCAUUCCAGAGUGAGCCUAGAAGGAGGGUGAGGGAUAGUAUUUUCCACAAAAGGCAAGACCUAAAGAGAGUUACAGCGACAGACAACAGAGACAAGGCUACUGGGCCCAUCCAAGGGCCACAUAUGAAACCAUAGAUAGUGUGUCACAGGGGAGGAGUACACAAGGAAGGCCCCAGGGCACGGCCCCAGCUCCUCCAGCGGACACAUCUGGAUCUUUCUCAAUGUAGGGAGGCUGUGUCCUGACCAUGCGGGCCUCUCUCAUUUUCCUCCCUCCUAAAUGGCCUGUCUCUCCCCCACCCCCACCCCCACCCCUACCAGCCUUGGCUCCCACCGUCCUGCCUUGGUCCUGCUGCUCAGCUGUGCACCAGGAAAGUCUGGAAGUCAUUAGUGGAGAGCUGGACCUUCCUGCUGUCUGCACCCAGCUGGGAAACCAAACAGAGAUGGGGGUGGGAGGCAUGAAAGGGUCCCUCAUCUUACGCCUGGGUGGAGCAGGAGGGGGAUAUGGGAUGCUGUGCUAAUUUGGAGGAUGGGGGCAUCCUCGUGUAGGAGAAAGAGGCCUGAGCCAGUCUCUGUAGGGGUGGGCAGUAGGGCAGCAUUGACAAGGACAACCAUGGGUCAUGUGGCCAUAGCUCUGUGCCGUAGGCAUGGCCAUCCUCCCCUCACAGGGAAGAGCAAAGACUCAGAAAGGUUGGGGGCAUUCCCGCGGGGACCUGGGCACAGAUGGAACAGGCUCUGCUGGCCUUCCUGAAACCUUUCUCUGGCCAUUUGGACAUGAGGCACUGUGGGGAGUGACCCACUGAGAGGAUGCAGUAGAGAGGUCAGCAGGGGUUGGGAUGCAGAGGGCCAGGCCAAGAAGGGACACAGGGAGUAUUGCUGAAGACUGGCCUAUGGGGGUGGGGUUAGGGGUACAUCUCAGACCCUCUUACUGCCCUGAGAAACAGCACUACCUGAACUUCCUUGCUGUACGAGAAAUCCAAAUGUUUUCUGGUUGCCAAACUAAGCUCAUGUUUAAGGGAAUACGCAGGGAUGGCGGGAUGGGGUAGGAUGGAGAGUGACUGCUGGAGGGCUAGCGUGAGGUGAGCGCUUUUGUACUCAGGACUUAAGGGAUCGUCACCACCACCUGGGGUGCUGUUAGACCUUCUGUUUACAGAAGGGAAGUUGUGAGUGGGAAGCCAUGUCACCAUACAAGGUCGCAAGCUGGGGACUCCAGCAGCAGGUCCCUGGGCCUCAGGGUCUCCAUUCCUGGCAACGAAAACCUGGAGGCUGGGUUGGGGGGGAACAGUGCAGGUGUGUUCCCAAACAGCCUCCUCUGAGAGAAAACCUGGCUGUGAGGACACCAGCCUGAGAAGCUGCAGAGUGGAUGCCUUUAUCUCCAGAUAGGAAGCCCCCCCACAACCCCACUUCACCUCUAUCCCCAGGGUACUGACCCAUUUCUCCAGCACAUUCUUGACAGCAUCUUGUUCUAGCCCUCCAGAGGCCAACCUUUCCCAGUGCCUUCCUGUUUAAGGACACAGGGAUGGAUGCAGACUCUCAGUUGAAAGGAGCAGGUGGGCGAACUUGGCUGAAUAAAUUUUCUUUUCUUCCUCCACAAGGAGAGUGAAGGCUGGACCUUGGGCUUCUGACAAGUGCAGGGAGGGGUUUGGCCCAGCCAAAUUCUCAACUGGAAAAAAAAAAAGAGCACAGCAUUCUCAGAGGCUGGCCUCCAUGUCAGGGAC
Canis lupus familiaris (dog) is the source of this 3591-nucleotide long non-coding RNA. RefSeq lists it as uncharacterized. The record is from RefSeq and is a predicted model, not a curated record. The transcript has 3 exons. Lineage: Eukaryota; Metazoa; Chordata; Mammalia; Carnivora; Canidae.